GGUAAGAUCAGUUGUUGGAGAGGCAGUCUCCCUGAAGAGAUGACCUUUGAGGCUGAAUGAACUGGGAAGGAAUCAUUCGAAUAUGUAGGGGAGGAGUGUUUUGAAUGAGAACAGCAAACAGGUCUCUGAUAAGGGUGAGCCAAGGGUGUUUGAGAACCAGCUCUGAGGCCAGGGUUGGAGGGGGAAGGGGAGACACUAGCUGAGAAAAUAAGCAGACUUAGAAAAAUGAAAAUGAGAAACAUUAUGUAUUACAACAUAAGAAGUCAUUUGGGACAAAAUAAACAAGAAAGCUGUUGGCUAUUCAAAAAGGGAAGUAUCCUGUAGCCUCCGCAUCAGUGAGGAAGGCUUCCUGGCAGAUGAUGGCCUUGAGCUGUUCUCCUUCAUUCAUUUGCUCGUCUUGUAUUUGUUGAGUGUCAUAUAGGUGCCAGACUCUGUGGCAGGUAGUAGUGGUACAAUGAUGAGCAAAACAGACCAAACCCUAUGUCAGAGAGAGAGGAAAAGCAAAGAAUUCCAGGAGUAAAUAUGUAAUUACAGACUGUGAACAAUGCUGCGCAAGUACAAUGUAGCACAUGUAUGGGAAGAAUCUAAGACCUAAUGUAGCUUGGAGUAUGGUGGGUCAUUGGGGAAGGUGAUGCUCAGAAAGUGACCACAUGACUGGGACCUGGCCAAGCAGGGGGGUGUAAGAGCCACCUGGAUAGAAGCAGCAGACAGUGGGGAGGCCCAGGUGAAAUGAGUCAGACCUGUUCAGAAAACUGAAAUGGCUACUACUGCAUGGCUGAGCACAGCAAGAGCAGGUGGGGUUGGGUUUCCCCAAAUGGAGCUACACCAGAUUGUGUGGGGUUUGGGAUUUUAAAUUUUAUCUUAAAAACAGUGGGAAGCAAUGAAAGUAAGGGAAUGUCAUAAUCAGAUUGAUGGUUUGAGAUGCUUAUGUUCCAAGCUGUAUAGAAAAAGAUAUUGAAAGAGAUCAAAAGAGGAAGUGGAGAACUAGUUGAGAGGUCAUUGCAAGAGUCCAAGUUAGGAUGAUGCAGGCUUAGCCUAAAGUGAUGACAGUGGAGAUCAAGAGGAAGAGGAGGUAUAUUUUUGAACUACUUUCAUAAGGGAAAUCUCAGGUAACAUGCAGAAUUUUCAUUUAUGUGGUGAAAAAAUUAGAAAUACAAAAAACCCAAAAGCUCCAAGUUUUAUGCACUCUAAUAUUCUAAUAAUGACAUGUAUUUUAGCCAGUAACCCAGGCAUUGUCACUGCAGAUUUUGCAUGUCAGCAAUAAUUGUUUUAUUUUUGCAAAGUCUUUGGGAGUUUGAUUUGCUGAUUUCAUGCAAAUUGCAAGAUAGCAGUGCACUUAGUUCUUCAAUAAGUAGAACUCCUGCCACGUGCUAAGAACAGUUAUAAGUGCUGGGAACACAGUGGUGAGUGAAUAGGUCGGAUCUCUUUUUUUGAAGAGCUUGUAUUCUGAUAAAACUGACCUUUCUGUAUAUAAAGAAAAUAAGAGUGGUAUAUUUCUUAAAUACCUCAGUUUGAUAUAGGAAUGUAUAAAAUUAUUUCUGAAUUCCUAUGAGAAGGACUCCAAACUUCUGUUAAAAAAAUUAAAAGGUAAAUAAAUUAACAUGCAGAUGAAUUACUGGGAAAGUAUUUUCCACCAAACUAACGAAGAAACAAUGUUGUUACCCUAGAAAAAGAUCUUGCAUAAAUUAUUAAAUAAAAUAGAAUCUCCCAGCAGAAAAGCUUACUAAAGACAAAAAAAAUAGUUAAAAAAAUAAUACAAAUAGCUUCCAAAUAGAAAAAAAAUUGACAUUAGUAGUAAUAAAAGAAAUGCAAGUUAAAUCAACCAGGUUUCUUCUUUAACACUAGCAAAGAUUUUUCCUUUUUGAGUCAUGAUACUAAGUGGUAGAUGGGAGUGGCUGAACGAGUGUAAUUUGGCAUAGCUUUUCUGGAAAGCAGUUUGGCAAUAUGCAUGGUAUGCUUAAAGUGUUAAAUCCUUUUUCUUAAUUCUACUUUUUAUAUAACAAAUUAGUAAAGCAAUAUAGACAAAGAUUUCUAUAAAUAUAAGUGGGUAAAGUAUUCAAGAUAGAGCAGAUCUUGAACUUGGGAGGUCAGAAAAUUAUUAGCUUUAUGACCUGAAUUGUAAUUAGGUUUUUCAGAGCUUCUGGAGAUUUUAUUUUGAUCAGCUGUGAAUGGGUUGAACAGCCUCAGGUAAGAGCUACACCAUCCACAUUGGAAUCUCUAUUUCUUGGUUGGGUGAAGAUGUUAUACUGAUUUAGUCUCAAAAUAGGACUAUAGAACUUAGGGCUUCCUUACUCUCCUGCCUUCAAAGAGCUGCAUCAAGCUUCUUUGAGUCAGUGAUUGAGUCAGAGCCUAAACAUACCUGCCAGAAGCUCUCUGCUGCCAUCUCCAGUCCUUUCCUCUCUCUCAGUGCUACCUUCCACCUCCAUUCCAGAUUUUAGAACCCCAACACAUGCACACACACACGCACACAAGGGGACAUGGUGGUAGAUAUAAAACAGUGGAUUGGGAAUCAGUAAUAAUUGGCAAUGCUUGAUAGUGUGUAUGUCAGGUGCUGUGUAUACUAUGUAUAUUAUAUAACACAUAUUUACACAUUUAUAUAUAUUAACUCAAUCCGAACAGUAACAAAAUAGUAUCAUGUCAUAGAAGCUAUUAUGAUCCCCAUUUUACAGAUGAGGAAACUGAGGCACAGUAACUUCAACAAAGUCAUAUAGCUAGUGUGGAAUUUUUAGGUAGCAGUCUGGGUUCAGAGUCCUGCUUCUUAAAUCACCAUAUCAUUCUGCCUCUUUAACCAAGUGACUAGGGUUCAUGUCCUGAUUCUCCCACUUAACUAGCUAGCAAUUAAGAAAGACACUAAACAUCUCAGAGCCCGAUUACCUCCUGGGAAAAGGGUAGUAGUACCAGCUGCACCGAUGUAUUGCAAUGAUGGAGUGAGAUGAGGUGUAUGAAGUUCCUGACAUGUAAUAAGUAUUCAAGUACUUAGGACAUUAUUAUUCAUAAGUGCUUUAUAAUUUUAUGUAAUUUUUUACAUUGCUUUUGCCUUAAUAUUUAACUACCACAUGCAAAUGGAUUGCAAAGAUAAAACUGUACCUUCCUGAAACAUUUUUGGGCUCAUUUCUUGUGUCGCAACAUUUGAUGGUAACGUAGCUUACCAAAGAGUUCUGAUCCCCACCUCUUCAUCAAGUCCAGACCAUUUGUAUGACUUGGACACCUAUGACUGUAGACCAGGUCUGUGCCAGCUGUGGAGUCCACAGCAGUGAGUUUGACAGAAACUGUUGGCAGUUCCCUUUUGCGAUGGUGAAGUGGCAGCUAGGUUGGGUACAGAGGAAUUCACAAGUAUGUUCUACACUGUGGUCUCUAGAUGCAGAAUUUAGAAGUGGGCUUGCCUGUAUGUCUGAUCCCAUGAGCUGGUUUCUAAGGAGUGGCUGUGGUACAGAGUUUUAUGUCAGUCACAAGAAUGCAACUAUAAGCACAUCUUAAUUUACUUUCUCACUUACGUGGUCACCGUUUGCUCAUUUUGAUCCUGCAGAGUAAGGGUUCUAAGAAAAAGAGAAUAGUUUCCUUAUAUACCCCCAGAUUAGAAGUGGAAAUGAAAACGUCUUUUCUUACUGUGCAGAUCUGAGGACAUUUGGAACCAGCUGCACAUCUGGCUCUACUGUUGGCUGAGAUUUUGAACCAAAAAAAAAGAACCCUAGAGACUCUAACAUCUGAGAAGAAUGGACAGCUAAGGAGGCAGAGAAGGGAAGAAUGAGAGGUGUCAUUGAAGGAAAGAGAUGAGAAGAUGUCAAGAAGGAAGGAUGGUGUCAGGUAUUUCUACAGACAUGAGAUAAGGCCUGAAAUCUAUUGGACUAUGAAAGUGAAUAGAAGAUAAUGUUAGAUUUUAUUAAGAACAAUUUUAGAGGACUUGUAAAGGCUGAUACCGAAGAAGAGUUGAGAGUGGGUCGGUAGUCAAAAAGUAGAGAAAAGGAAUGCAAGCUAUUAUUUCUUGAAGUGUGGCCAUAAAUAGAAUGGAAGAGAUUAUACAGUCAAUAGAGAGAGAAGCCUGUUUCCCUUCAAAAUGACUAUAACUCACACUUUAUAAUUCAAGGGAGAGUCAUUGGAAAAGAAGACAGUGAAGAUAAAGGUAUAGGAGGUUAUGGAGAAAUACCAAGUAGAGGAGGAGAUGGGUCAAGUGCACAUAUUUAAGGAUUAGCUCCAUGGACAGCAGUGGAGAAGGAGAAAUUUUAUUCCACAAGUGACCUUGAAAAAUGAUAACAUUUGUAUCACCUGUCAGAGUGAUAGAAAAAAGGAAAAACACGGAGGUAGAGAGAGAAACAAAAAGAAAUAAGGAAGGUUGAGGGGAAGGCUUUCAGCCCCUUUCUCUCUCUUUUCCUUUUGGGAUGUGUAAUCGGACAUGAACCUGGAGAACUUCCAGGGGUCAGACCACUGUGAAUCUGUGACGGACCACUGGAAGAUUUUGGGUAAAUUCCAGACAAGAUCAACUUAAGAAGCCACAGUUCCUCUGGGUCAGCUUAAAGGGUCCAGGAGGCACAUCAACUUUUCCAUCUUUGUGAGACGACUCUUCACUCGGCCCCCAGAGGUUCUUCACCUGCCCCUCAGCCCCUUCUCACCAGGCUGUGAAGGGGGAUAUAGUUGCUCCAGUAAAAAUCUCUCUUCAUUUUAAGGAUUUACUCUAAUCAUAAUGGUGAGAAGUUGGAGAAUAACAGAUACAAUACGAGUCAAUUAAAAAGCUUAUGAAUAACAGACACCUCCAGGUAUGUGCCCUGGGGUAAUAAAGUCUGAGAGUAUAACAGAAGCCUUAUUGGACUCUGCUCCUUGAUUUGAUUCUGGAGGGAGAAGGUUUCUAAAAUGUCCGGUUAAGGCCGUGUUCACGGAGUUUUCAGGGCCAAUAGAAGCCGAAUCCCAGCUGCUCCCCUGUCUCAAAAUGUGACUUUCAUUUCUGGAAACCUCUAAAUACUCAUUUCAGUGAGUGCCCUUUUCAUAGAGUAAUGGUCUUCUUUGGGUAUUUCCUUACAAUAAGAGAGUUUUUGUUUUAUUUAUUUAUUUUGGGGGGGCUACCCAACAACCCAGUCAAUUAACAUUUAUAUAAUGCUGUUUCUUCAUAACAAAAAUUUUGAUGUCUAAAAUAUCAACUUGCAAAUGAGAGUUCGGAACUCAAAUUUUGAAGUCAUGGCAUUUAUGUAUUGACUCACUUUGGACGUUAAAUUUCUGGGUAGAAUAAUACGUAUUUUCAGUUCAUGUAUUAUGUGAAUACCAUUAAUUUAUUCUCUUUAUUUUGUAAAAUAAUCCAGUACAUUUGGAUAAGACCUCAUCCUGUAAAGAUGACAAUUUUUCAUCAGGUUAAUAGCUUUAACAUCAAACAAAAUUUUUAACCGUUUUUUUCAGAACUAGACCAAAUGGUUUUUAAAUUGCAUUGGAAAUUAGCAAGAAAAACAUCAAGGCAUAUUUCAAAGACAAUGAAAAAUAAUGGGAAAGACCAAUCCUAACAGAUAGUAGAUUAUGUUAUAAUAAUAAUAGUUAAACAGUGUAUCAGUGCUAAAAUUAUCUGUUGAGUGAAUGUAGUAGAAAUUCUAAUCAAUUUAGUUUAUAAUAGUAGAUGUGUGCUCAAGUUUAAAUUAUAGAAAACUUUAUUAAAUGUUCUAAUAAGUAGAUAGCAAUAUGGAGAAAAAUUAAGUUUAGAGGUAUAUGCCAAAAUGCAACAUAGGAGAGUAAAACAUUAAAUUUUUUUUAAAGAGAAUAAUUCCCAGAUAUGUCAAAGAGAUAGAUGCUUUUGAGAGAAUUAAAGCAAUAGAAGAAAUCAUAGAGAAAAAGAUGGACAAUUUUGAUUAAGUAAAAUUGGGUAUAAAAUUCAAACUAACAACAAAAAAAGAAUUUGCUAAAAUGGAAAAAUGGCAGUAGAUAAUGGGAAAGAAGAAGGUCCAGGAGGGGUGGGUAAAGCAGGGGCUUUAACGUCAGACCAUUGGGUCCAUAUCCUGCCUUUACUCCAUGUGUAAACAUGUUCAAGGUAUUUAAUUCAUCAGUGUCUCAGUUUCUUUUUCUUGAGGCUAAUAGUAUCCGACUUGUAGCAAUGUUGGAGAUGCGGAUGCAUGAGUGUGCAUGAGAACAUGAGUUCUCAUGAGUGCAUAAGAACAGACACUUGGAGCCGUGUUAGACUUGUAGUGACUGGUUAGUAAUUGACAGUGAUACCUGUCAUGAUCUAUGACAGUGUUCUUAGGGCAAUUGCCUUCUGGGGACAUUUGGCGAUUUCUGGAGACAUUUUUGAGUGUCACAAACUGCUACUGUCAUCUAGUUGAUAGAGACCUACUCAGCAUCCUAUAAUUACAGGACAGAUCCAUAGAAAUAAUUGGCCCAAGAUAUCAAUAGGGCUAUGCAUGAGAAACUGCUCUGUGGUGUGUGCAGAGCUCCCACAACUAAAGAACUGCAGUCAUAUUCCAAUAGAUACAUGGAAAAAAGGGCAUCAACAGUUCACUCAAGAAGAAGUUUAGAAAAUAAAUAUUUGGGAAGGUAUUCAAAUCUGCCAGUAAUUAAAAAUGAUUAACUCAGCUGAUGAAGAAUUUUAUGAAAAUUUCAAGAGUUCAUAUUAAAAUUCAAAGUCCGGGAUUUACCAGGGGAAUGGGUAUACUCAUACUCUGGUGGUGGCUCUGCAAAUUACUAUCUAUCCUUGGGAAAUAAUUUGGAAGAGAGCUAUGAAAAUGUGCAUGACUUUUAAUCCUUUGAUAGCCUUUCUAAAGAUUCAUUCUAAAUUAAGUAUUCAAAAAAUGACUUGUAUGGGCCAAUAUCUUAAUGCAUACUGUGAUAUUUCUUACAUUAGCAAAAACCUAAGAGCAAUGUAAAUGAACAGAAAAGGGAAACAGUUAAGCAAAUUAUACCUUAUAAUGAAAUGGACUACUUAAUCACCACUGAAUUUAUGAUCAAAUAAAAAAUACAACUCUGCAGAAAAUGUAAUGUUCAAAGUAACGUUAAAUGAAAAUGAGCAAAACAUUUAUUUAUUCUAUAAUUACAAUUUUAUGAAAUGAAUACGAAACAAAAUGUGUUCCAUGAUAUUGGUUGAAUGAAUUAAAAACAAAAAGAAAUAAAAAUGUGAUGUUAUAAGGGUGGUGGUAUAUAUGCAGUUUUUCUUUUAAAUUUAAUAUUUUUUAUGUGGUUUGAAAGUUGUUUAAACAAAUAGAAAAAGCAAGCAAAAACUCACCAGGCAUGCCUGCAUUUUGUGAUUUAAAGUUAAGUCAGAGGACAGAGGUGCAAAUAGAUGAUGAUCUUCACACAGCCACAGUUCUAUGGCCAGUGAAUUCAGCUGCCUGUGGUAUUUCUAAAUACACAAAUAUCUGAGUUUCUGCUCAGUUGGUGGCCCCUACAAACUUUGCAUUCAGCUUGGGGCAGGGUCAUUUUCAAGAUGCUUUUUUUUUUUUUUUUUAACCAUUUCAAUUGAAGUCUGCCCGGGAUCCUGAAGUAAAUGAUGUAAACAAACUCAUCAGACUUACUACACACAUUUUUAAGGAUUAACAAUAAGACAGUAAUGUGUUUGUGACUGUAAGAAGUUGGUCAUGGGGAAAAUUCUUUUUUCUUAGGGAGUUUUGAAUAAUGGUCCUUGGGAGAAAAAAAAUAAUUCAUAGGUUAAUUUUUUUUGAUUGCUUAUUUUUUAUAUAUACAAGUCAAGGUUUUUGACAGCAGUUUUCUUCUUUAAUGUUUAAAAAGGUAUCAUGGUUUAUUUAUAUAUUUACAGAUUUUCUAAGAUUUUACCAUUGGGCAAAACAGUGUAUAGAUAAGGAAAAAGGCACAAAAUCACUUCGGAAUUGGUUCUGAGAAUCUGUAGGAAGGAGAAAGUGCUACUGAUGGUGUGUUUUGCUCCAAGAUGGAUGAUCAGUGUGAAAUAUCAGGCCACGUCAUCAUCUUCCGUUCAUUUUUUUUUUUCCUAUAGAUUUUUCCUGGGUGCAAUGACCCACUCGUUACUAGAAACAAACUACAGAAACACUUUCUUUUCUCCCACAGGGGGAGAGAGAGAGAGAGAGAGCGGGAACUUUGACCAAAAAUUUAGCUCUAGCUUCCCUAGUAGUUUUUAGUAAUCUUAAAUCAUUUAAUUCUUUUGGCCUUUGGAUUUCCUAAUUAUAAAAUAGGAAUAAAAUGUCUUUGUCUUCACUUCUGACCCCACCAAGAUUUCAAGUCACAGGGGAUAAAGUGUUUUU
Canis lupus familiaris (dog) is the source of this 8177-nucleotide long non-coding RNA. RefSeq lists it as uncharacterized. The transcript has 7 exons. NCBI's taxonomy places the organism in Eukaryota, Metazoa, Chordata, Mammalia, Carnivora, Canidae. The record is from RefSeq and is a predicted model, not a curated record.